GUUCUAUCCCCCCACCAACACUCAUCUCGUUCGAUCCCCACCAGGCUCAUCCAGAUGCGCCAUUUCUCCUGAUUUGCUGCUGGCAAAGGAAGAUGUCGUUGGUGCCAGCAGUAAACUAAUUCCCAGCCUAUUCUCCAGCAUGCGGAUCGAGUCUGCCGGCGCGGCCACGGGGAGGGCAAGGGAGAACAUGGCGUGCUGUUCAAACUCGUCAUGGCCGGCGGCGAGCUGUCAUAGCUGAGGUGCUGGAUGUGGGUGGCUGCGCUGAUGGAGCUUACGGAGAAGGCUGCACCAAUUUGUGAAUUUCCUUCUCGCAAAAAAAUUGUGAAUUUCCCAGGCGAACUCAUGCUACGGAGAAUGGUUGGAUCUAAAGGCACGGGACUACGGAUGGCACCAUGGCUAUGGUCCAUGAGAUCAAUUGGGUAAUGUAGGCAAGUCUCACACCGCGGACUGCUCAGCGCGGUGGUUCUCCUAUUAGCUGAGGCGCUGGAGAAGAGACAGGUAUUAAUCCCUUCCUAUUCUCUCAUAAUUCUAUCGAUUCUCCUCUUGCUUGCAAGUACAUAUGUACGUAAUAAGUUAUUCAGUUUCACAGUAAAACUUAUUUAUAAGGAAUUUGAGAAUUUUAAAGCUUAGUUUUUCUUAAACACCUGUUUUGACAAUGAAGAAUUAAGUAUGUUCUUGUAUUUGUAAUCUAGGAAAUAUCCGAGUACAAACCUGUUGUAAAUGCUUUCAUUUAUUAAUUGGAAUUUCGUUCAUAUGUGUUAAUCAACGUACAAUGGUUGAAUUUUUUACAUAUAAUGUCGGCGCUGUGUAUGAUGAAGAGUUUUUUUUAUGGUUUCUCUAAACUUAAAAGGCCAUAUGAGAGAUACAAUUUUUGUUACUAAGGACAAUAAACUGAUGAAAGUACAUGCAUGAAUGUAUUUUAAAAAAUAGAAUAUGCCCUACUUUUGAUAGUCUUGUAUCAAUGUAAUUUCAUGCUAUUUGAGAUGUUAAGGAACCUGAUGUGAAAAUAAGUUUGGUGGGUGACUACUGCUUUGGAAGUAAUGUGAUUAGUUAGUGGAUUUGCUUUGCUUCAAGGUCUAAACGUGGGAAGUUUUUUUGUAGUCAGGAUGGCGACACCGGGCUAAUCUAGCCGUAUGUGGAACACUGGAGAGCAUGCGAUUGGCGUUUAUCAUGUUUUGCUAUUAAUAAGUUUAUGAAGCAAGG
Molecule: long non-coding RNA, 1203 nt
Filed under: Triticum aestivum (bread wheat)
Lineage: Eukaryota; Viridiplantae; Streptophyta; Magnoliopsida; Poales; Poaceae
Description: long non-coding RNA (TAES_LNC004776)
Source: RNAcentral